This 324-nucleotide ribosomal RNA is filed under the name uncultured bacterium. Its description in RNAcentral is "bacterial SSU rRNA". It matches the Rfam family "Bacterial small subunit ribosomal RNA", at positions 28 to 334 of the family's 1533-position model. The record is from RNAcentral.
GAUGAACGCUGGCGGCGUGCUUAAUACAUGCAAGUCGAGCGAAGCGCUUUAACGGAAUUCUCCGGAAGGAAGGUAAAGUGACUGAGCGGCGGACGGGUGAGUAACGCGUGGGUAACCUGCCUUAUACAGGGGGAUAACAGUUAGAAAUGACUGCUAAUACCGCAUAAGCGCACAGGACCGCAUGGUCUGGUGUGAAAAACUCCGGUGGUAUGAGAUGGACCCGCGUCUGAUUAGCUAGUUGGUGAGGUAACGGCCCACCAAGGCGACGAUCAGUAGCCGACCUGAGAGGGUGAUCGGCCACAUUGGGACUGAGACACGGCCCAA